CUCCUUCUCCCUCUUUUCUUCAUUUUUCUUUAUCCUUCUCGUCGGUGGAAAACCGCCCAAAUCACUCAAAUCAUCCAAAAUUUUCGCUUUAAUUGUUGAAAUUCAUCUUCAAUCUUUCAAAUAUGCUUCAUUCGUUGAAAUCCCUCCAAGUCCAGCUUCGUUCGUUCAAAUCGCCCCAAAUCCAACUUCAUUCGCUCAAAUCUAACUUCAUUCGCUCAAAUCCAACUUCAAUCUUCAAUCUGUCAAUUCAAAUUCAAUCUUCUGUCGCUCAAAUCCCGUUUUUUCAUAUUUUGGCUAAAAAUCCUUCAAUAAUUAUG
Molecule: long non-coding RNA, 317 nt
Filed under: Lupinus angustifolius (narrow-leaved blue lupine)
Lineage: Eukaryota; Viridiplantae; Streptophyta; Magnoliopsida; Fabales; Fabaceae
Description: long non-coding RNA (LANG_LNC003237)
Source: RNAcentral